Molecule: ribosomal RNA, 871 nt
Filed under: uncultured bacterium
Lineage: Bacteria
Description: bacterial SSU rRNA
Rfam family: Bacterial small subunit ribosomal RNA
Source: RNAcentral
GGCGGUAUGCUUAACACAUGCAAGUCGAACGGCAGCACGAGAGAGCUUGCUCUCUUGGUGGCGAGUGGCGGACGGGUGAGUAACGCGUAGGAAUCUGCCUAGUAGUGGGGGACAACUCGGGGAAACUCGAGCUAAUACCGCAUACGCCCUACGGGGGAAAGCGGGGGAUCUUCGGACCUCGCGCUAUUAGAUGAGCCUGCGUUGGAUUAGCUUGUUGGUGAGGUAAUGGCUCACCAAGGCGACGAUCCAUAGCUGGUCUGAGAGGACGAUCAGCCACACUGGGACUGAGACACGGCCCAGACUCCUACGGGAGGCAGCAGUGGGGAAUAUUGGACAAUGGGCGAAAGCCUGAUCCAGCAAUACCGCGUGUGUGAAGAAGGCCUGCGGGUUGUAAAGCACUUUCAAUUGGGAAGAAAAGCUUAGGGUUAAUAACUCUGAGUCUUGACGUUACCUUUAGAAGAAGCACCGGCUAACUCCGUGCCAGCAGCCGCGGUAAUACGGAGGGUGCAAGCGUUAAUCGGAAUUACUGGGCGUAAAGCGCGCGUAGGUGGUUUUGUAAGUCAGAUGUGAAAGCCCUGGGCUCAACCUGGGAAUUGCAUUUGAUACUGCAUGACUAGAGUAUAGUAGAGGGAAGCGGAAUUCCGGGUGUAGCGGUGAAAUGCGUAGAUAUCCGGAGGAACAUCAGUGGCGAAGGCGGCUUCCUGGACUAAUACUGACACUGAGGUGCGAAAGCGUGGGUAGCAAACAGGAUUAGAUACCCUGGUAGUCCACGCCGUAAACGAUGUCAACUAGCCGUUGGACUCAUUAUAAGGGUUUAGUGGCGAAGCUAACGCGAUAAGUUGACCGCCUGGGGAGUACGGCCGCAAGGUUA